Molecule: ribosomal RNA, 460 nt
Filed under: uncultured bacterium
Lineage: Bacteria
Description: partial 16S ribosomal RNA
Rfam family: Bacterial small subunit ribosomal RNA
Source: RNAcentral
CCUACGGGAGGCAGCAGUGAGGAAUAUUGGUCAAUGGACGAGAGUCUGAACCAGCCAAGUAGCGUGAAGGAUGACUGCCCUAUGGGUUGUAAACUUCUUUUAUAUGGGAAUAAAACGUUCCACGUGUGGGAUUUUGUAUGUACCAUAUGAAUAAGGAUCGGCUAACUCCGUGCCAGCAGCCGCGGUAAUACGGAGGAUCCGAGCGUUAUCCGGAUUUAUUGGGUUUAAAGGGAGCGUAGGUGGAUUGUUAAGUCAGUUGUGAAAGUUUGCGGCUCAACCGUAAAAUUGCAGUUGAAACUGGCAGUCUUGAGUACAGUAGAGGUGGGCGGAAUUCGUGGUGUAGCGGUGAAAUGCUUAGAGAUCACGAAGAACUCCGAUUGCGAAGGCAGUUCACUGGACUGCAACUGACACUGAGGCUCGAAAGUGUGGGUAUCAAACAGGAUUAGAUACCCUAGUAGUC